RNAcentral lists this ribosomal RNA (253 nucleotides) under uncultured bacterium. RNAcentral describes it as "partial 16S ribosomal RNA". It matches the Rfam family "Bacterial small subunit ribosomal RNA", at positions 524 to 776 of the family's 1533-position model. The record is from RNAcentral.
UACAGAGGUGGCAAGCGUUGUUCGGAAUUACUGGGCGUAAAGGGCGCGUAGGCGGCCAUCUAAGUCAGACGUGAAAUCCCUCGGCUUAACCGGGGAACUGCAUCUGAUACUGGAUGGCUUGAGAUUGGGAGAGGGAUGCGGAAUUCCAGGUGUAGCGGUGAAAUGCGUAGAUAUCUGGAGGAACACCGGUGGCGAAGGCGGCAUCCUGGACCAACACUGACGCUGAGGAGCGAAAGCCAGGGGAGCAAACGGG